RNAcentral lists this ribosomal RNA (465 nucleotides) under Vreelandella stevensii. RNAcentral describes it as "partial 16S ribosomal RNA". It matches the Rfam family "Bacterial small subunit ribosomal RNA", at positions 338 to 795 of the family's 1533-position model. The record is from RNAcentral. Lineage: Bacteria; Pseudomonadati; Pseudomonadota; Gammaproteobacteria; Oceanospirillales; Halomonadaceae.
CCUACGCGCGGCAGCAGUGGGGAAUAUUGGACAAUGGGCGAAAGCCUGAUCCAGCCAUGCCGCGUGUGUGAAGAAGGCCUUCGGGUUGUAAAGCACUUUCAGUGGGGAAGAAAGCCUUGGGGCUAAUACCCUCGAGGAAGGACAUCACCCACAGAAGAAGCACCGGCUAACUCCGUGCCAGCAGCCGCGGUAAUACGGAGGGUGCGAGCGUUAAUCGGAAUUACUGGGCGUAAAGCGCGCGUAGGCGGUCUGAUAAGCCGGUUGUGAAAGCCCCGGGCUCAACCUGGGAACGGCAUCCGGAACUGUCAGGCUAGAGUGCAGGAGAGGAAGGUAGAAUUCCCGGUGUAGCGGUGAAAUGCGUAGAGAUCGGGAGGAAUACCAGUGGCGAAGGCGGCCUUCUGGACUGACACUGACGCUGAGGUGCGAAAGCGUGGGUAGCAAACAGGAUUAGAUACCCUAGUAGUC